Molecule: ribosomal RNA, 1020 nt
Filed under: uncultured organism
Description: bacterial SSU rRNA
Rfam family: Bacterial small subunit ribosomal RNA
Source: RNAcentral
CUCAGGAUGAACGCUAGCGGCAGGCCUAACACAUGCAAGUCGAGGGGUAAGGCUCUUUCGGGAGUACACGACCGGCGCACGGGUGAGUAUCGCGUUUGCAAUCUACCUCUAACUGGAGAAUAGCCCGAAGGAAUUCGGAUUAAUACUCCAUAACAUUAUUUAGUCGCAUGACUUUAUAAUUAAAGCCCCGGCGGUUAGAGAUGAGCAUGCGUGUCAUUAGUUAGUUGGUGAGGUAACGGCUCACCAAGGCAACGAUGACUAGGGGGUCUGAGAGGAUGAUCCCCCACACUGGUACUGAGACACGGACCAGACUCCUACGGGAGGCAGCAGUGAGGAAUAUUGGGCAAUGGGCGCAAGCCUGACCCAGCCAUGCCGCGUGCAGGAUGACUGCCCUAUGGGUUGUAAACUGCUUUUAUACGGGAAGAAAGAUUUCUACGUGUAGAGAUUUGACGGUACCGUAAGAAUAAGCAUCGGCUAACUCCGUGCCAGCAGCCGCGGUAAUACGGAGGAUGCAAGCGUUAUCCGGAUUCAUUGGGUUUAAAGGGUGCGCAGGCGGAAUAUUAAGUCAGUGGUGAAAUCCUGCAGCUUAACUGUAGAACUGCCAUUGAUACUGAUAUUCUUGAAUAUAGUUGAGGUAGGCGGAAUGAGUAAUGUAGCGGUGAAAUGCUUAGAUAUUACUCAGAACACCGAUUGCGAAGGCCAGCUUACUAAACUAUCAUUGACGCUGAGGCACGAAAGCGUGGGGAGCGAACAGGAUUAGAUACCCUGGUAGUCCACGCUGUAAACUAUGAUCACUCGCUGUUGGCAAUACACAGUCAGCGGCUGAGCGAAAGCAUUAAGUGAUCCACCUGGGGAGUACAGUCGCAAGAUUGAAACUCAAAGGAAUUGACGGGGGCCCGCACAAGCGGAGGAACAUGUGGUUUAAAUUCGAUGAUACGCGAGGAACCUUUACCUGGGCUUAAUUGCAGAGCGACGUUCCCGGGAAACCCGGAAUCCUUCGGGGCGAUCUGGCAAGGUGCU